GGGUUCCUGUCCAACGUUAAUCGGGGCAGGGUGAGUCGACCCCUAAGGCGAGGCCGAAAGGCGUAGUCGAUGGGAAACAGGUUAAUAUUCCUGUACUUGGUGUUACUGCGAAGGGGGGACGGAGAAGGCUAUGUUGGCCGGGCGACGGUUGUCCCGGUUUAAGCGUGUAGGCUGGUUUUCCAGGCAAAUCCGGAAAAUCAAGGCUGAGGCGUGAUGACGAGGCACUACGGUGCUGAAGCAACAAAUGCCCUGCUUCCAGGAAAAGCCUCUAAGCAUCAGGUAACAUCAAAUCGUACCCCAAACCGACACAGGUGGUCAGGUAGAGAAUACCAAGGCGCUUGAGAGAACUCGGGUGAAGGAACUAGGCAAAAUGGUGCCGUAACUUCGGGAGAAGGCACGCUGAUAUGUAGGUGAAGUCCCUCGCGGAUGGAGCUGAAAUCAGUCGAAGAUACCAGCUGGCUGCAACUGUUUAUUAAAAACACAGCACUGUGCAAACACGAAAGUGGACGUAUACGGUGUGACGCCUGCCCGGUGCCGGAAGGUUAAUUGAUGGGGUCAGCGCAAGCGAAGCUCUUGAUCGAAGCCCCGGUAAACGGCGGCCGUAACUAUAACGGUCCUAAGGUAGCGAAAUUCCUUGUCGGGUAAGUUCCGACCUGCACGAAUGGCGUAAUGAUGGCCAGGCUGUCUCCACCCGAGACUCAGUGAAAUUGAACUCGCUGUGAAGAUGCAGUGUACCCGCGGCAAGACGGAAAGACCCCGUGAACCUUUACUAUAGCUUGACACUGAACAUUGAGCCUUGAUGUGUAGGAUAGGUGGGAGGCUUUGAAGUGUGGACGCCAGUCUGCAUGGAGCCGACCUUGAAAUACCACCCUUUAAUGUUUGAUGUUCUAACGUGGACCCGUGAUCCGGGUUGCGGACAGUGUCUGGUGGGUAGUUUGACUGGGGCGGUCUCCUCCUAAAGAGUAACGGAGGAGCACGAAGGUUGGCUAAUCCUGGUCGGACAUCAGGAGGUUAGUGCAAUGGCAUAAGCCAGCUUGACUGCGAGCGUGACGGCGCGAGCAGGUGCGAAAGCAGGUCAUAGUGAUCCGGUGGUUCUGAAUGGAAGGGCCAUCGCUCAACGGAUAAAAGGUACUCCGGGGAUAACAGGCUGAUACCGCCCAAGAGUUCAUAUCGACGGCGGUGUUUGGCACCUCGAUGUCGGCUCAUCACAUCCUGGGGCUGAAGUAGGUCCCAAGGGUAUGGCUGUUCGCCAUUUAAAGUGGUACGCGAGCUGGGUUUAGAACGUCGUGAGACAGUUCGGUCCCUAUCUGCCGUGGGCGCUGGAGAACUGAGGGGGGCUGCUCCUAGUACGAGAGGACCGGAGUGGACGCAUCACUGGUGUUCGGGUUGUCAUGCCAAUGGCACUGCCCGGUAGCUAAAUGCGGAAGAGAUAAGUGCUGAAAGCAUCUAAGCACGAAACUUGCCCCGAGAUGAGUUCUCCCUGACUCCUUGAGAGUCCUGAAGGAACGUUGAAGACGACGACGUUGAUAGGCCGGGUGUGUAAGCGCAGCGAUGCGUUGAGCUAACCGGUACUAAUGAACCGUGAGGCUUAACCU
RNAcentral lists this ribosomal RNA (1595 nucleotides) under Escherichia coli 3-020-07_S4_C3. RNAcentral describes it as "bacterial LSU rRNA". It matches the Rfam family "Bacterial large subunit ribosomal RNA", at positions 1349 to 2925 of the family's 2925-position model. The record is from RNAcentral. Lineage: Bacteria; Pseudomonadati; Pseudomonadota; Gammaproteobacteria; Enterobacterales; Enterobacteriaceae.